CACAGACACAGGAAGUCCUCGUCGAAGAAUGCUAACGGCUGAUUCUAUCAUCGUGGGAAGGGGAACAAAGGAAAUGAGAAGGACUGACUGAAAGUACAUCCACACCACGGGCCAUUAAAAAUCAGGAACCAUGAAAAUGACUGAAUCAAAUGACUCAGAGGAUUCCAUGAGGUGCCAGUGGGCCAUGAACCAGACGUCCUGAACGAGGGGCUGCUGGGAAAUAAGGGCAGAGCUGAGAGGCCAAGGGAUGCAAAAUAACA
This is a long non-coding RNA of Talpa occidentalis (Iberian mole), 260 nucleotides long. RefSeq lists it as uncharacterized. The transcript has 3 exons. NCBI's taxonomy places the organism in Eukaryota, Metazoa, Chordata, Mammalia, Eulipotyphla, Talpidae. The record is from RefSeq and is a predicted model, not a curated record.